Non-coding RNA from Youngiibacter fragilis 232.1, 221 nucleotides. The record is from Rfam. Lineage: Bacteria; Bacillati; Bacillota; Clostridia; Eubacteriales; Clostridiaceae.
GUCAACUAACCCUCGACCGAAGUCGAAGGCAUGAGGAGCGAUCCUUAAUGCCUGGUUGAUUAGCCUGAGUGCUUUAGGCACUACGUUGUUUUUGUCAUAACACCCACGGACGUCCAUCCUAAUCCGGGGCUCUGUUGCCUGUGAUUAAAAGUUCUCUUGGGUUAACGGGAACGGUGUUGCAGGCGUAAAAAGCAAUUACAACAUUGGCGAAGGAUGCCAAC